UAAGGUAUUUAAUUGUAUUAUGAUUAAAAUCUUUUUUUAUUAAUCUGAUGCCACAGUUAAUAUCUAUUUUUUUAGAGAAAAAUAGCAUGCUACCCACUUCAUUUUUAUAGAAAUAAAUUUAGUUAGAAAUAUAAAGUAAUUAGACUUUGAGCUUGGGACCUAGGAUAUUGACCGCCCAUCUCUUUAUCAUUUGGGUUAGGUACCGUCGGUUUUAAUAU
RNAcentral lists this long non-coding RNA (218 nucleotides) under Ananas comosus (pineapple). Its description in RNAcentral is "long non-coding RNA (ACOM_LNC037827)". The record is from RNAcentral. Lineage: Eukaryota; Viridiplantae; Streptophyta; Magnoliopsida; Poales; Bromeliaceae.